CCUACGGGACGCAGCAGUGGGGAAUAUUGCACAAUGGGGGAAACCCUGAUGCAGCGACGCCGCGUGAGUGAAGAAGUAUUUCGGUAUGUAAAGCUCUAUCAGCAGGGAAGAAGAAAGACGGUACCUGACUAAGAAGCCCCGGCUAACUACGUGCCAGCAGCCGCGGUAAUACGUAGGGGGCAAGCGUUAUCCGGAUUUACUGGGUGUAAAGGGAGCGUAGACGGCUGUGCAAGUCUGAAGUGAAGGCCAAGGCUCCAACCCGGGA
This 265-nucleotide ribosomal RNA is filed under the name uncultured bacterium. RNAcentral's name for it is "partial 16S ribosomal RNA". It matches the Rfam family "Bacterial small subunit ribosomal RNA", at positions 338 to 619 of the family's 1533-position model. The record is from RNAcentral.